AACGAACGCUGGCGGUGCGCCUAACACAUGCAAGUCGAGCGCGAAAGUCCCUUCGGGGGCGAGUAGAGCGGCGGACGGGUGAGUAAUACAUGGGGUAAUCUACCCCCGAGCUUGGGAUAACCCCGCCGAAAGACGGGGCGUAAUACCUGAUAAGACCACAUAACACAAGUUGUGCGGUAAAAGGUAGGCUUGAAUUUAUUCUAGCUAUCACUUGAGGAUGAGUCCAUGGCCUAUCAGCUUGUUGGUGAGGUAAGAGCUUACCAAGGCUAUGACGGGUAGCUGGUCUGAGAGGACGACCAGCCACACUGGGACUGAGACACGGCCCAGACUCCUACGGGAGGCAGCAGUGGGGAAUAUUGGGCAAUGGGCGAAAGCCUGACCCAGCGACACCGCGUGGGUGAUGAAAGCCUUCGGGUUGUAAAGCCCUUUCGUGCGGAAAGAACUGUUCCGCGGUUAAUACCCGCGGAAUUUGACGGUACCGCAGGAAGAAGCACCGGCUAACUCCGUGCCAGCAGCCGCGGUAAA
Molecule: ribosomal RNA, 525 nt
Filed under: uncultured bacterium
Lineage: Bacteria
Description: bacterial SSU rRNA
Rfam family: Bacterial small subunit ribosomal RNA
Source: RNAcentral